Molecule: ribosomal RNA, 1287 nt
Organism: Drosophila sechellia
Lineage: Eukaryota; Metazoa; Arthropoda; Insecta; Diptera; Drosophilidae
Rfam family: Eukaryotic large subunit ribosomal RNA
Source: Rfam
UAAAACAAGUUCGGAGAGGUCCGAAAGUCACUGUCCCUAUCUACUAUCUAGCGAAACCACAGCCAAGGGAACGGGCUUGGAAUAAUUAGCGGGGAAAGAAGACCCUUUUGAGCUUGACUCUAAUCUGGCAGUGUAAGGAGACAUAAGAGGUGUAGAAUAAGUGGGAGAUAUUAGACCUCGGUUUGGUAUCGUCAAUGAAAUACCACUACUCUUAUUGUUUCCUUACUUACUUGAUUAAAUGGAACGUGUAUCAUUUCCUAGCCAUUAUACGGAUAUAUUUAUUAUAUCUUAUGGUAUUGGGUUUUGAUGCAAGCUUCUUGAUCAAAGUAUCACGAGUUUGUUAUAUAAUCGCAAACAAAUUCUUUAAUAAAACGAUGCAUUUAUGUAUUUUUGAUUUGAAAAUUUGGUAUAACUCCAAUUACUCAGGUAUGAUCCAAUUCAAGGACAUUGCCAGGUAGGGAGUUUGACUGGGGCGGUACAUCUCUCAAAUAAUAACGGAGGUGUCCCAAGGCCAGCUCAGUGCGGACAGAAACCACACAUAGAGCAAAAGGGCAAAUGCUGACUUGAUCUCGGUGUUCAGUACACACAGGGACAGCAAAAGCUCGGCCUAUCGAUCCUUUUGGUUUAAAGAGUUUUUAACAAGAGGUGUCAGAAAAGUUACCAUAGGGAUAACUGGCUUGUGGCGGCCAAGCGUUCAUAGCGACGUCGCUUUUUGAUCCUUCGAUGUCGGCUCUUCCUAUCAUUGUGAAGCAAAAUUCACCAAGCGUUGGAUUGUUCACCCAUGCAAGGGAACGUGAGCUGGGUUUAGACCGUCGUGAGACAGGUUAGUUUUACCCUACUAAUGACAAAACGUUGUUGCGACAGCAUUCCUGCGUAGUACGAGAGGAACCGCAGGUACGGACCAAUGGCACAAUACUUGUUCGAGCGAACAGUGGUAUGACGCUACGUCCGUUGGAUUAUGCCUGAACGCCUCUAAGGUCGUAUCCGUGCUGGACUGCAAUGAUAAAUAAGGGGCAAUUUGCAUUGUAUGGCUUCUAAACCAUUUAAAGUUUAUAAUUUAUUUUAUAAACGACAAUGGAUGUGAUGCCAAUGUAAUUUGUAACAUAGUAAAUUAGGAGGAUCUUCGAUCACCUGAUGCCGCGCUAGUUACAUAUAAAAGCAUUAUUUAAUACAAUGACAAAGCCUAGAAUCAAUUGUAAACGACUUUUGUAACAGGCAAGGUGUUGUAAGUGGUUGAGCAGCUGCCAUACUGCGAUCCACUGAAGCUUAUCCUUUGCUUGAUGAUUC